UAGCUAGUCCAACUCCAUUGCAGCACAUUUGUUUAUUUUAACACUUUUUUUAUCUAAAUAUGAAGCUAGCUGUGAAUGCAAUUAACAUUGUGAAGCUUUAGAACUGCACUUUAAUUGGAAAAAUCUAAACAUGCAGCUCUAUAAAAAAUUUGUAUGCUAAUGUAUUUAUGAUGGAUAGACCCAUUCUUUCUUGUUUUUUAAGUUAAUGAUUUAAAUGGAACAAUGUGCUUAUGCUUUUGUUUCUUUCUACCUUAUUUCUUCCACAGCUCUUCCAAAGUUGGUGUGUAGCAGUGUACCAUGAUAUUAUACAGAGGAAAUAAGUACAAGAGCUUGAAAUUGGGUUCUGAUGAGGAGUUCCUGUACAGUUCCCGAGCAAACUCCAACAUCUGAGAGACAAAUUGAAAGAAUGGAGUUUUGAAAUGCAAAUACUUUAAACAUUAAUUCUUAGAACAUUGUAGAUUGGAAAGUGAAUUUCUGAACCAAACUGUUUUGUUGAACCUCUUAGUGGGUCUAUUUGAUUCUAAACUUGUCUUUGAAGAAAUAAAAUAGAACCCAUUUCUUAUUUGUAUGCUACUGUUUCAGUUAUAUUUUACUACUUUAUUACCUCUCCUCUACUAUCUGGAGAACCUCCUGCAACUGAAAAACUCUUGUUGUGCACUAAUUAAAAGUUUAAAGUAUGGAAUUAUUCAGUCCUCCAACUCAUCAAAACCGUUGAAUAAAAAUCAAUCUGCUAAUGUUUUC
Molecule: long non-coding RNA, 741 nt
Filed under: Phaseolus vulgaris (common bean)
Lineage: Eukaryota; Viridiplantae; Streptophyta; Magnoliopsida; Fabales; Fabaceae
Description: long non-coding RNA (PVUL_LNC003237)
Source: RNAcentral